RNAcentral lists this ribosomal RNA (307 nucleotides) under uncultured cyanobacterium. RNAcentral's name for it is "partial 16S ribosomal RNA". The record is from RNAcentral. Lineage: Bacteria; Bacillati; Cyanobacteriota.
GGAGUAUGGGCCGUGUCUCAGUCCCAUUGUGGCUGAUCAUCCUCUCAAACCAGCUACUGAUCGUCGCCUUGGUGGUCCAUUACACCGCCAACAAGCUAAUCAGAUGCAGGCUCAUCCUAGAGCACCGGAGUUUUCAAGAAUACCAUUUCAGGUACGCUCAUAUGGGGUAUUAGCAGAAGUUUCCCUCUGUUGUCCCCCUCUCUAGGGCAGAUUUCCUACAUAUUACUCACCCGUCCGCCACUUAUGUAUCUCCGAAGAGACCUUAUCGUUCGACUUGCAUGUAUGAAGCAUGCCGCCAGCGUUCGUC